This 72-nucleotide transfer RNA is filed under the name Mycobacteroides abscessus subsp. bolletii. Its description in RNAcentral is "tRNA-Trp(cca)". It matches the Rfam family "tRNA". Rfam says of the family: Transfer RNA (tRNA) molecules are approximately 80 nucleotides in length. Their secondary structure includes four short double-helical elements and three loops (D, anti-codon, and T loops). Lineage: Bacteria; Bacillati; Actinomycetota; Actinomycetes; Mycobacteriales; Mycobacteriaceae. RNAcentral also lists the same sequence under 2 other names. The record is from RNAcentral.
AUCGCGCUGGUGUAGUGGUAGCACAACGGCUUCCAAACCCGUUGGUGUGGGUUCGAUUCCUACGUGCGGUGC